AUUGAACGCUGGCGGCAGGCCUAACACAUGCCAGUCGAGCGGAUGAAGGGAGCUUGCUCCUGGAUUCAGCGGCGGACGGGUGAGUAAUGCCUAGGAAUCUGCCUGGUAGUGGGGGAUAACGUCCGGAAACGGGCGCUAAUACCGCAUACGUCCUGAGGGAGAAAGUGGGGGAUCUUCGGACCUCACGCUAUCAGAUGAGCCUAGGUCGGAUUAGCUAGUUGGUGGGGUAAAGGCCUACCAAGGCGACGAUCCGUAACUGGUCUGAGAGGAUGAUCAGUCACACUAGAACUGAGACGCGGUCCAGACUCCUACGGGAGGCAGCAGUGGGGAAUAUUGGACAAUGGGCGAAAGCCUGAUCCAACCAUGCCGCGUGUGUGAAGAAGGUCUUCGGAUUGUAAAGCACUUUAAGUUGGGAGGAAGGGCAGUAAGUUAAUACCUUGCUGUUUUGACGUUACCAACAGAAUAAGCACCGGCUAACUUCGUG
Molecule: ribosomal RNA, 484 nt
Filed under: uncultured bacterium
Lineage: Bacteria
Description: partial 16S ribosomal RNA
Rfam family: Bacterial small subunit ribosomal RNA
Source: RNAcentral